This 292-nucleotide ribosomal RNA is filed under the name uncultured bacterium. RNAcentral describes it as "partial 16S ribosomal RNA". It matches the Rfam family "Bacterial small subunit ribosomal RNA", at positions 505 to 796 of the family's 1533-position model. The record is from RNAcentral.
GUGUCAGCCGCCGCGGUAAUACGUAGGUGGCAAGCGUUAUCCGGAAUUACUGGGCGUAAAGCGCACGCAGGCGGUCUCUUAAGUUUGACGUGAAAGCUCCCGGCUUAACUGGGAGAGGUCGUUGAAUACUGGGGGACUUGAGGCAAUGAGAGGGGUGUAGAAUUCCCGGUGUAGUGGUGGAAUGCGUAGAUAUCGGGGGGAAUACCAGUGGCGAAAGCGGCACCCUAGCGUUGUUCUGACGCUCAUGUGCGAAAGCGUGGGGAGCGAACGGGAUUAGAAACCCGGGUAGUCC